AUGAACGCUGGCGGCGUGCCUAAUACAUGCCAGUCGAGCGAACGGACGAGAAGCUUGCUUCUCUGAUGUUAGCGGCGGACGGGUGAGUAACACGUGGAUAACCUACCUAUAAGACUGGGAUAACUUCGGGAAACCGGAGCUAAUACCGGAUAAUAUUUUGAACCGCAUGGUUCAAAAGUGAAAGACGGUCCUGCUGUCACUUAUAGAUGGAUCCGCGCUGCAUUAGCUAGUUGGUAAGGUAACGGCUUACCAAGGCAACGAUGCAUAGCCGACCUGAGAGGGUGAUCGGCCACACUGGAACUGAGACACGGUCCAGACUCCUACGGGAGGCAGCAGUAGGGAAUCUUCCGCAAUGGGCGAAAGCCUGACGGAGCAACGCCGCGUGAGUGAUGAAGGUCUUCGGAUCGUAAAACUCUGUUAUUAGGGAAGAACAUAUGUGUAAGUAACUGUGCACAUCUUGACGGUACCUAAUCAGAAAGCCACGGCUAACUACGUG
Molecule: ribosomal RNA, 496 nt
Filed under: uncultured bacterium
Lineage: Bacteria
Description: partial 16S ribosomal RNA
Rfam family: Bacterial small subunit ribosomal RNA
Source: RNAcentral